UGCUCCCAGUAUGGCCCAGUCCAUCCCAGUAUGGCCCAGUAUGGCUCCCAGUGCCUCCCAGUCCAUCCCAGUAUGGCUCCCAGUGCCUCCCAGUCCAUCCCAGUAUGGCCCAGUAUGCCUCCCAGUUGCUCCCAGUUGCUCCCAGUAUGGCCCANACUUUCACUUUCACUUUCUCAUUCGCCUUCACUUCCUCAUUCCCUUCUAUUUCCACUUCCCUCGCUUUCAUGUCCGCUUCCGCUCCCACUUUUACUUUCACUUUCACACUUUCACUUCCUCUACAUUCACGCCCACUUCCACUUCUGCUCCCAUUCCCAUUUUUACUUUCACUUUCACUUUCUCACUCACCUUCACUUCCUCAUUCACUUCUACUUCCACUUCCCUUACUUCCAUCUCUGCUUCCGCUCCCACUUUUACUUUCACUUUCACACUUUCAGUUUCACUUCCUCUACAUUCACGCCCACUUCCGCUCUCAUUCCCAUUUUUACUUUCACUUUCACUUUCUCACUCACCUUCCUCAUUCACUUCUACUUCCACUUCCCUCACUUUCAUGCCCGCUUCCGCUCCCACUUUUACUUUCACUUUCUCACUUUCACUUCCUCUACAUUCACGCCCACUUCCACUUCUGCUCCCAUUCCCAUUUUUACUUUCACUUUCACUUUCUCAUUCGCCUUCACUUCCUUGUUCACUUCUAUUUCCACUUCCCUUACAUGUCCGCUUCCGCUUCCCACUUCUACUUCCACUUUCACUUCAGCUCACUUCCGCUUUCACUUCAGCUCACUUCCGCUUUCCCUAAUUUCACGUCCGCUUCCACUUCCGCUUCCACUUUAGUUCACUUCCGUUUUCAGCUUUACAUCCUCCUUCACUUCCGCUUUCCCUAUUUUCCGCUUCCGUUUUCCAUUUUACUUUCACUUUCACUUUCACAUUUGCUUUAG
This is a long non-coding RNA of Numida meleagris (helmeted guineafowl), 932 nucleotides long. The record is from Ensembl. Lineage: Eukaryota; Metazoa; Chordata; Aves; Galliformes; Numididae.